RNAcentral lists this ribosomal RNA (555 nucleotides) under Coccorella atlantica (Atlantic sabertooth). RNAcentral's name for it is "partial 16S ribosomal RNA". It matches the Rfam family "Bacterial large subunit ribosomal RNA", at positions 1846 to 2586 of the family's 2925-position model. Lineage: Eukaryota; Metazoa; Chordata; Actinopteri; Aulopiformes; Evermannellidae. The record is from RNAcentral.
UAAGAGGUCCUGCCUGCCCGGUGACUCAAAAAGUUAAACGGCCGCAGUAUCUUAACUGUGCGAAGGUAGCGCAAUCACUUGUCCUUUAAUUGAGGACCUGUAUGAAUGGCAAGACGAGGGCUUAGCUGUCUCCCCUGCCCCGUCAAUGAAAUUGAUCUCCCCGUGCAGAAGCGGGGUUAACCCUAUAAGACGAGAAGACCCUAUGGAGCUUUAGACAACCAAACGCCUCACAUAAGACAGCCUAAAAGAAAAAAGCUGCCCAUCUUAGUGACACCCUCCGUUUUAUGUCUUUGGUUGGGGCGACCGUGGGGAAAAGAAAACCCCCCAUGAAGACGUUAAAGACUCUCUUUUAUAACCAAGAGCCUACUACUCAAAGUAUCAGACACCUCUGACCCAAAUGAUCCGGCUUAUUAACCGAUCAACGAACCGAGUUACCCUAGGGAUAACAGCGCAAUCCUCUCCUAGAGCCCCUAUCGCCGAGAGGGUUUACGACCUCGAUGUUGGAUCAGGACAUCCUAAUGGUGCAGCCGCUAUUAAGGGUUCGUUUGUUCAACG